UACGUAGGGUGCAAGCGUUGUCCGGAAUCAUUGGGCGUAAAGCGCGUGUAGGCGGCCCGGUAAGUCCGCUGUGAAAACUCGAGGCUCAACCUCGAGACGUCGGCGGAAACCAUCUGGCUAGAGUCCGGAAGAGGAGAGUGGAAUUCCUGGUGUAGCGGUGAAAUGCGCAGAUAUCAGGAAGAACACCCGUGGCGAAGGCGGCUCUCUGGGACGGUACUGACGCUGAGACGCGAAAGCGUGGGGAGCGAACAGG
Molecule: ribosomal RNA, 253 nt
Filed under: uncultured bacterium
Lineage: Bacteria
Description: partial 16S ribosomal RNA
Rfam family: Bacterial small subunit ribosomal RNA
Source: RNAcentral